GUCACUGGUACAGGGGGCGUUACGUGUGUAAGUGUCACUGGUACAGGGGGGCGUUACGUGUGUAAGCGUCACUGGUACAGGGGGUGAUACGUGUGUAAGCGUCACUGGUACAGGGGGCAUUGCUUGUGUAAGCGUCACUGGUAGAGGGGACAUUACGUGUGUAAGCGUCACUGGUACAGGGGUCGUUACGUGUGUAAGCGUCACUGGUACAGGGGGUGCUGCGUGUGUAAGUGGCACUGGUACAGGGGGGAGUUACGUGUGUAAGCGUCACUGGUACAGGGGGCGUUACGUGUGUAAGCGUCACUGGUACAGGGGGUGCUGCGUAAGUGGCACUGGUACAGGGGGGAGUUACGUGUGUAAGCGUCACUGGUACAGGGGAUGUGUGACACCCCAUCAGAGUUGCCACGGACAUUUAACUUAUUUCUGCGCCCUUUAUCCCCCUCUACAAAAUACAGCCUGGCUAAAUACUUUGAGACUUCAGCAAGGAAAGGGUUAAGAACAUUUUCUAUGCUAUAGCUGUCAUGCGCUUGGACAGUUAACAGCCGUGUGCCGAGUGUGUUGGCAGUUGGGCGGCGGCCAUCUUAGGAGGAUGGGCAGAGUGAAACAGGACCUAGGAGCAGAAGGUGCUGAGCUGAUUUGGUGGUGUACAUGGUGACCAAAGGAGACUCCUUACCUGAUCUUCAAUAAAUCAGAGUCCAGCAGCUGACAAAGAGAGUGUCUAUGGAGUGCUGAGCUGAUUUGGUGGUGUACAUGGUGACCAAAGGAGACUCCUUACCUGAUCUUCAAUAAAUCAGAGUCCAGCAGCUGACAAAGAGAGUGUCUAUGGAGUGGUGAGCAGACUACGUCAGCCCUGAGGCAAAAUAGCCACUUCUAGUGAGAUCCAGGAGCCCCAUUGCAGACUAUACAUUCUCACACUCCCUGUCACAGACUCCCUGGUAUACAAGAGAUCACAGUUUUAUACAGUAAAUUAGCCAGUUUCUAUAGUAAUAACACCCUUUAUGAGACUGAUAAGAGCCAUCAAAUAGCAGUAAGCACCUCUGUGCAGAAGCAGACAGUCAUGUGCCGCAGUUUUCUCAGCACACAGCCAGAACUUUGUAGCGCAGUAAGGAACAAUACUGCCUUAGUUACACAGACAGCUUAAAGGAUUCAGGACUCAAUAUCACAGGGGCCUGCAGCUGAUGUACUGCUCCCAGUCAGACAGUGUAAAUGUAACAAUUGAGUACAGUAACCUUUUUGGAGUACAGGUCAGUAACCCUGUUUCACCACCUAUUCAUUGCAAGCCCUUCCAGAUAUAGAGAGACUGCUCAUAACAGGGACAGAGACACCUUAGCUGCCUAUAUUGCAUUUAAGGAUGAGUCAGGAUUAAGUGGCACAGUUGUAAACCUACUUAUUGCCUGACACAGCCAUGUGGAUAUCGCAGAGAGCCUCCUUUAAGAAAAUAGUACCUACAGUACAAUCAAUUAUUAUUAUAUCCAGACUAGCAAAAUAGACUCACAGUUGCCUAAAAAUAGUGUGCUGCACCAUAUUAGAAGUUGCAAAACUGCCUGGUUGGACAGAACCUGCUACACUUCAUUUGUUGUAAUCCAUCCAUUGCUACCUUCAUCCAAGACUUGUAUUAACUAUUCUCAGGAUAUAACUUUCCUAGAAAGGUGCACUAUACUCAAUGUAGCUAGCUACAAAACUAAAGGUUUUUACGGGGCCCCAAUUAUAAGAGUAUUUUCUGGUGAUUGCUUAAAACUGUAUAUUAGUGUGUAAGGAUUGUCAAAUGUGGAUAUUGUUUCUUGUGCUUUAUUGUUCUUUGCAUGAAAAUGGUAUGUGACUAGCAUAGACAUUGAGGUUAAUCUAAAUUGCCAUUAUAUGAGAUAAUCUCAAAUUUCUACAGCUGAGAAAAACUUAUAGCAGUGUUUCAGUAGAAUAAAAAUUCAUAUAGAGAAA
Pseudophryne corroboree (corroboree frog) is the source of this 1935-nucleotide long non-coding RNA. RefSeq lists it as uncharacterized. The record is from RefSeq and is a predicted model, not a curated record. NCBI's taxonomy places the organism in Eukaryota, Metazoa, Chordata, Amphibia, Anura, Myobatrachidae. The transcript has 2 exons.